UGGGGAAUAUUGCACAAUGGACGGAAGUCUGAUGCAGCGACGCCGCGUGAGGGAUGACGGCCUUCGGGUUGUAAACCUCUUUCGGCAGGGACGAAGCGCAAGUGACGGUACCUGCAGAAGAAGCGCCGGCCAACUACGUGCCAGCAGCCGCGGUAAGACGUAGGGCGCAAGCGUUGUCCGGAUUUAUUGGGCGUAAAGAGCUCGUAGGCGGCUCAUUGCGUCAACCGUGAAAUCCUGCUGCUCAACGGCAGGUCUGCGGUUGAUACGGGUGGGCUGGAGUUCGGUAGGGGAGACUGGAAUUCCUGGUGUAGCGGUGAAAUGCGCAGAUAUCAGGAGGAACACCGGUGGCGAAGGCGGGUCUCUGGGCCGAUACUGACGCUGAGGAGCGAAAGCGUGGGGAGCGAACAGG
Molecule: ribosomal RNA, 409 nt
Filed under: uncultured bacterium
Lineage: Bacteria
Description: bacterial SSU rRNA
Rfam family: Bacterial small subunit ribosomal RNA
Source: RNAcentral